GGGAGUGUGAUUAAGAAAGAGCUGACCAAUGAUGUCCAAUGCACAAAAACCAUCACAACAGCUUGUUUCAUUCGCUACUCUAUUUUGGAGACUUUACCCUCCAAGUAUUAUUUCUCCUAUUCAUUUUAUGGUGCAUUGGCACUGCAUAAAAGAAGUGUUCAGAAAGUAACUGGUCUUCACUUUAUGGUGUCAGGUCUAGCUCUCUGUAAUAACCUAAACCAUGUGCUUGGCACUUGAGUGGAAGGGCGGGAGUCUUCUUCUCUCCUGAUUC
RNAcentral lists this long non-coding RNA (271 nucleotides) under Elaeis guineensis (African oil palm). RNAcentral describes it as "long non-coding RNA (EGUI_LNC012151)". Lineage: Eukaryota; Viridiplantae; Streptophyta; Magnoliopsida; Arecales; Arecaceae. The record is from RNAcentral.